This is a long non-coding RNA of Passer domesticus (house sparrow), 428 nucleotides long. RefSeq lists it as uncharacterized. The record is from RefSeq and is a predicted model, not a curated record. Lineage: Eukaryota; Metazoa; Chordata; Aves; Passeriformes; Passeridae. The transcript is spliced from 2 exons.
CUGUGGAGGAGAUGGAAGUGGACAUGGUGCAGGAUCAGGAAGAAAUGAUGGAGGUGGACGUGGAAGAGCAGGUUGGGAACAUGGAAGUUGAUGUGGAGGAUGACAUCGAGGAGAUGGAAGUGGACGAGAAAGAUGAGGAGGAGCCCAUGGUCCUUGGAUGAAGAUGGAGCCCCACAAGACUGCUGGAGAUGAUGGCUGUAGAUAUUACGGCGGUGUAGAUAUGUUUGAAAAGUUAGAAUUUUUAUUGUAAAUAUGUUCUUUGGUUAGUAGUUCUUUGUAAAUAUGUUUUGAAGAUUGUUAGUCCAUAGGAUCCCAUGGAAAUAUGUGCAGUAGAUUGAUGUUGUUAUAAGGAUUUUUGUAAUGGAAGGUGUUCUGUAAAUCCUCGUGUUUGCCGAUGAUCAGCAAAUAAAUAAUGAUACUUUAUAAAA